AAGGGUAUGUAAAACCGGCCGCCCGGCCGGCCGCCGCCAGCCUACCCAGCGAGGCCUGACGAUCGAGCGAGGUGCUUGCUAGCUAGCUCCUCAGUCCAGGCACUCCACCACUCACCGUUGCGAAAAGCCAGCUCCCACCUCUCUCUCAUGGGCAGGGUUCACGGUGACGGCCGGCAGCCGCCGCCAUGCAGCAUCCACCAUGCACACCACCGGCCACCCGCACCAGGCGGCCAGGCCCCGAUGGACGGAUGGAUGGCAGCGCGCGCGCGAACCCUAAAGCCGCCUCCGAUCGGAUCAGUCCAGCCUGCCCCCCUGCCACGCCUGGGGCUGGUGCGCGCGCGGGCCCACCUCCCCGCUAUAAAGCGGAGCCGCCGGUACGCGCUCCUCCUCGACCCACCGCCAGUCACUCGCCCAGAUUAGCGGCCAAAAACACCCCAGGUUUUCGCGUCUUUGCGAGCUCACCGCGUUCGCCAGGCGGGGCGGGGCGGGGCGGGCAUGGCUGCCGCGCCGGUCCGGCGGGGGCGGGGGCGCGCGCGCGCGGUGACAGAAGAGAGUGAGCACACGGCCGGGCGUGACGGCACCGGUCAAGGAUGUGCCGUCGCGGCCGCGUGCUCACUGCUCUUUCUGUCAUCCGCUGGCGGCCCCCUCUCUCACACGCCACACGGCAGGAAGCGGCUCUCGCUCACCGCCGGCCGGCCGGCGCCGCCCCCCUGUGGGCUGUGGCUAGCCCUUUAGCCCUCCCGUGCUGCGCCUCCCACCCAUGACCUUGACGUACUGCCUUUGCCCAGGUUCUUUAAUUUAGGUCGUCUCAUCUUGUUUCAAAAGGGAAUAAUUUCGAUCUCAUCUUUUGGAUUUCUUCGAUUUAUCGGCGGUCGUUCUACGCCUACAUUCAUGGCACUGUUUGAAUUGAUGAUUGAUGGAACCUGGGUAGUUUUUCUUCUUGCUGCUUCUGCUGCUGUACUUUUUUUUUCCCUCGUUGUUUCUUCCUCGGCCUCGUACGCCGCCCCUCCGUUCAUCUUUUCCGAGGAGCCCUAUACGGCUACUAUACCAUUAGGGGAAGUACCACCACAUUUUUUUUUACUCCCUUCCCGGGACGGAUUUGUUUACUGUGCCAUUGAUUGAUGAAUCUUUGGAACCUGGAAUAUGGCAGCGGCAUCGUCAGGAAUCUACCGGCCGCAUGGAUCCGUAGUUCCUUCCAUGGCGUCUUUGACCAGAUCUAGUAUUUACCACUCGGUGGUUCUUGCUCUCCUGUACUACUGUUUCUUUCUUGGCUUCUUCUCUCCCUUUCAGGGUUACUGUUAAGCUUGAGAGCCGAUCCGCAAGCAACUCCGUGUGUGUCAGUGAUAAGAUGAGCUCAACAAGGCAGAGAACACAGAACGGAGGAGGAGGCGAGGAAGACAAGGAAAAUGCAUGGAAUUGUGAUGCCAAGGAAAGGCACACGUACGGUCGGCAGAUCUGUCGUCGUCGCUGCCGCCGUUUCAUCCGCACCUAUCAUCAGUAUCUCGAUCGAUCGCAUUGAAGGUUCAAUAUAAUGCACAAGCAUUAAACUUCGUCCAGGAUAACAAAGCAGGGACGCUGGUGAAAGUUGUAGGUGUUGGUUAGUUAAGAAAUAAACAUUUUUUUGGUAUAUGUAGGCAAGCUUUGCAUUGGGGUUUCUAAAUUUGAACCUACACGAACUUCUCACCAGCAUGAAUGUUGUUUUUUCACACACAAAAUGACAAGUUUAAUUUGCGUAUGUUCUUGGUUGAAAAGGCAUGGCAUCGGUGCAAGUGAGUGCCCAUGUGUUUUCUAUAAAAAAGAAGGGCCAAGCUAGUUGCUGCUAUUCUUUUUACUGGACAACCGUUGAACUUUCAACUGCUACCUAGUAGGUUGCAAUAUUGCAUGCUUCCUUUACAAUAUAAUAAAGUCUGAUUAUUGCUUUAAACUGCUAACCUACUGGAAAAAUACUAUUUCUGUUAGUUUUCCAGUUCCAACAUGGCAGUAUAUAUAAAGUUUCUGAGUAUAUAUAUAUAAAGCCUUGAUUCAGCAUAGGAAUAAUCAUGAUGAUAUAUACUUUCUUCUCAUAAGCAUGUAAACCACUUGAAAUAUCUCAUUCCCACUUCUGUUCCAUCAUGGUAUGUUUGCUCAAUCUAAUCUUAUAUCUAAUAUAUCUAUGGCUAUAUGCACCUGCACCUCAAAGCUUCUAUUUAUGUAAAAAAUGUAUAUGUAAUGAAGCUAUGGCAAGGUGGUCAUGUAGAGGUGUAAUCUCUCUCCAACCAAGGCAUUAUUGCAUUAUUAACUUGUCUGUCAUAUGAUAAAGGAUGCAAACUAAACCAGAGCCAACAGGUUUGUUCCUACACUAGUGUGGCAUGUGAAUGCGCCCUUAGUCAAUCUAUAACUACCUUGCAAGCAUACAUCAAGUGAUCAAGAAAUUAAAACAAGAGACAUCAUUUUAGAUUAAACACAUCUCAUUUACUGGUAAUGGCUCAAUGAUGCUUUGUUCAAUUGUAUAUAUGUCAUUUUAGGAUUCUUGCAAUCAAGUCUUUCAACAUUGCUGAUCAAUAUUUAUGGACUUAGAUAAUUGUUGACAUAAGACUGAUGUUGUGAAUGAUCCUGAAAAAUACUUGCAUAUAAUUUUUUUGUUUGGAUUUAUACUUUCACAGAAAUUACCUGUAAAACUGUUAUCUGUUGUUGAACUUGUUGAUGUAGUAAACAACUUGUAGUUGUGUUCACGGAAAGUACAUAGACUUAAUAAUACAUUACAACAAUUAAUAAAAUUAGAAUGUAAUAACAACCUUUGCAUGGCAGGACUGAGCACGCAUAUAGUGUGAGUUCAGCAUGUGGUUCUAUCUGUUUACCUCAUCGCAGCAGCAUAUAUAUAUGUAUGUCUAAUUUAAUAAGUCAUUGAUGAGGUAAUUUUAUUUAAAGUGGAGAGGUAUGAUAUACGAACAUACAAUUAUUUUAUUUUGGCCAUACCAUUUUGUGGCUCACAUGAAUUGAUGCAACUUAACUUGGUAUAUAUAUGGUACUACCUCUGUCCUGAAAAGAAUGCAAUUCUAGUUGUUUCCUUGGACAAAUUAAGUUUGACCAAGUUUAUAUAUAGAAGAUAGUAUUAAUAUUUAUGACACAAAAUAGGUAUAGCUAUAAACAUAUUCCUUGAUGAAUAUAAUGACACUUAUUUGGGCCUUGUUUAAUUCCAAAAAUUUUGGCAAAACGGGCACUGUAGCACUUUCGUUUGUAUUUGACAAAUAUUGUUCAAUUAUGGACUAAUUAGUUAUUUUUUAUCUAUAUUUAAGCCCCAUGCAUGUGCCGCAAGAUUCAAUGUGAAGGGAAAUCUGAAAAAUUUUGCAAAUUUUUUUGGGAAACUUGGUCAAACUCAAAAUGGUUUAACUCAAUUGGUACUCUGCUAGAAUUACAUAUAUAUACGGCAUAGACAAUGUGAUUAUGAAAUUAACGUCUGAGUUAUUUUAUUAGUGUUCAUAUGGUAUCCUACAUAAGCAUACAUAAUUCAUGUCCUGAAGUUAAAGGUGCCGAUUAGAUUGCUUUGAGUAGUUUAGUGGAGAGAAAUGAAUAGAUAAGGUUGUUAAGAAAAGGGACCGAUGACUUCACACGUCACUGUGGUACUACUACAUUUUAUCAUCAAAAGUUCUACUGUACCAUUUUUUAAAAACUAUAUAAAUACCAUGAAUUACAAAUAUUUGAAAGCCAUAAUAUGAUUAAUGGGGAUGUCAAUAGAAUGACAAGUACAGAGUGGUAUCAUAGUGAUUAUGAUGUUAACAAGGUAAGUUCUUCAUUAAAUCAAGAUUUGUCACUGUACCUGAAAAUUACUCGAUGAGUGGAAUUUAUUUGAGCCCUUUACAUGAAUUCAAAUCAAUUGGAUGGAAACUAUGUUUAAACAUUUUUUGAGAAGUGAAAUGGUUGUCCUACCUAGAGAAUGUUUUGAACCUUUAAUUUAUUUGCUUGAUUCUAGCACAUGCCAAUUAAAGUGCGACAUACUGGAAUUCUAAUCCAGGAUUAUCUCACACGGUGCCGGAUCCAGGAUAGCUUAAACUCUACGCACAUAUUGUGUCACACAUGUAAUUGCAGUGCACCAAAUUGUCUCACACGGUGCCGGAUCCAGGCUCUAGCCCAUCUACCAUACCGGUAUACUACAUCCCAUAGAGUCCCUAUAUGUUUUAACGGGCCAUAUAUGGAUAUGGAGAUCGAGGAAGAAGUAUAAAAGAUAUGUAGCGGGAGAAGAAAAAGAUGGAGGUAGAAAAAGAGUAAGCGCUGAUCUCACAGGCUUUAUGCUGGCAGCACGAGGAAAUAUGAAGUAAAUCAAGUGUCAUCAAGAACCAGUGAAAAUGCACAAUUGCAUUUCGGUUUUAUGAAAUACGGUGGUCCUUUUUCCUUAACUUCGUUGCCAAUCUUAGAUUGUGUAUGAUGUUACAAUCCAGAUAUGUUCAUGGUCAUAUCUAGCAGCUCUUUCUACAAGAGGUUCACUACAGCAGCUGCUGCUGUUUUGUACGAGUUCAGUUGCCACAGCAGCAGCAGCAGCUGCUGCUGCAGAGAAGUGCUACCGAACUGCUUACCUA
This is a long non-coding RNA of Sorghum bicolor (sorghum), 4553 nucleotides long. RefSeq lists it as uncharacterized. The transcript is spliced from 2 exons. The record is from RefSeq and is a predicted model, not a curated record. NCBI's taxonomy places the organism in Eukaryota, Viridiplantae, Streptophyta, Magnoliopsida, Poales, Poaceae.